UAAUACGUAGGGGGCGAGCGUUGUCCGGAUUCAUUGGGCGUAAAGAGCUCGUAGGCGGUUCGGUAAGUCAGGUGUGAAAACUCCAGGCUCAACUUGGAGACGCCACCUGAUACUGUCGUGACUAGAGUCCGGUAGGGGAGCAUGGAAUUCCUGGUGUAGCGGUGAAAUGCGCAGAUAUCAGGAGGAACACCAGCGGCGAAGGCGGUGCUCUGGGCCGGAACUGACGCUGAGGAGCGAAAGCGUGGGGAGCGAACAGGAUUAGAUACCCUGGUAGUCCACGCCGUAAACGUUGGGCACUAGGUGUGGGGCUCUGUCAACGAGUUCCAUGCCGUCGCUAACGCAUUAAGUGCCCCGCCUGGGGAGUACGGCCGCAAGGCUA
This 379-nucleotide ribosomal RNA is filed under the name uncultured bacterium. Its description in RNAcentral is "bacterial SSU rRNA". It matches the Rfam family "Bacterial small subunit ribosomal RNA", at positions 521 to 896 of the family's 1533-position model. The record is from RNAcentral.